GGCGAUGCAGCGGACGCCUGGUCAGCCGAGGCGGAGGGAGAUUUUCGGAAGGAUUUACUUGCCGAAAUGCUGCCAGAUGAGCCACGAGCCUCCACCGCAGACGAUUCGCCGCAGAACGAGAGUUUAGGCGAAUUUUGCGUUCAAGUUUUCUGAAGUUUUCUCAACAGUGGGUACAGAAAGUUGUUGCAAUUCGUCAAAUACUUGAAGAACUUUCAAGCAGAGUUACCAACCACAUAUGCAACUGAAAAUUGUGAAGUUUAUUAAAGUGACUGGCUGAGUUGGAUGAACUAUAAAAACACAUCUUAUUUAAAUAAUAAAGGAAAAAUUAAGUGAGCUGUAUGGAGUGUCAAACUUGUGGAACUGUUAUUCCCUAACAAGAGAUAAAUGGAAGGGUAAAAGAAUAAAGAGCAAAGAUUCGUCACUCUGAAGCACUUACAAUAAAGGAAACUCCAUUAACUCAAAAAUUCUACCGCAUUCAGUUCAAUGUGUGGAUUAUAUCACACGAAAAUACAAUAUUAAGGUUAGUACAGAAAUUCCAAAUACUAGCAAUGCUUGUGGUGGAAGAAAAUACAAAAAUGGACGAAAAACAAUCAGGAAUCCGAACAGAAUUGCAGAAGGGCGAGAUUAUCACCUAUUAUACUGUUGCAAAGUCCCAGAACAAGUUUGCCAAAAUUUUCAUUGUUGCAUAGUACUGCUUGCUAGAAAAAUUUGUGGCAGUGGUCUGUCAGCAUAUUCAUACAAAAUGCAACUCAUUCAACCUUUGUCGCCUAAUGAGAAAGGCUCGAGUUUACAACUGCUUUCAAUCAACUUCUGGGAAGUGACUCUGAUGUGUCGAACAACCUAUGGUUCACAGAUGAGACUCAUUCCCAUUUAAACGGAUAUACCAAUAAACAAAAUUUACGAUUAUGGGCAUUGCAGAGUCCACAUGCCGCUGUUAAUAAUCCUUUAAAUUUAGAACUGGUUACCGUGUGGUGGGAAAUAUUUUAUGUUGACAUUUUCUCUCUAGUGUUCAUUGAUAGAAACAUCAUGAAUGAAGUGUAGCUCAGGACUCUUCAGGAAGAAUGUGUUUCUUUUUUGCUUGACAUGCUUGAUGAUCCUUCAACUUGCUGAUUUCAACAGCACGAUGCAAGACCUCACGCGACAAGAAGAAGCCUCUAUUAUCUUCAUGAGAUAUUUCAUCAACUUGUGUUGUCUAACGUGUGUUGCUGGAAGGGACUUGAAUGGCCACUAAUAUCACGGGAUGUGCUGCCUCCAUGUGACUGUUUCUUGAGACAGACAGAGUGUUUAAAACAACCUGCAACUAUUCCCGAACUAGUCACUUAUCUUGGGGUGAUCCUCACAAAGUGUCUUACAGGAUUCCCACACACACAGGAUAUCAUAAAGAAGCGCCGAGUGCGUAAAGCAAAACUUUUCCACUUUUUGAUUGCUCGAAACAGUGUUCUAUCUAUAGAUAACAGGUUACUCACUUACAGAUUAUAUGUCCCAUGCUAUGUUACGCUGUCCAGUCUUGGCAUACUUCUGUAAAUCUAGCAGAAAAAUUACAAAAGGCGCAGAACUGUGUUGUGCAUCAGACCUGUAACGCACCCUGGUACGUGCGCAAUUCAUGGGGAACUAACAGUUGUUGCACUCCGUGCUUAUUAUUAUUAUUUAGCUAUAAAUUUCCCUGCCAAGAUGCCCUAUACAAUACUGAACUAAAUAUCUACAACUGUGAUUAUAGGAAUACUGCUAGUAACAAAAGUCCUAUGAUAGUACUGAACCCUAGUAUAAUUUUGGAGGAUUGAUGUAUCUUUUAUUUACUGUCUUGUAAAAAAAUCUCUAUUAUACUGUAUACACUGUAUAUAUUGUUAUUUAAUCUGGCAUCUGUAAUUCAUGCUUACCUUAUGUAUCUAUGUAUUAGUCACCAUCCGAGUACAUUACCUUACCUUAAAACAUUAUUAUAUAGAUAUAAAAAAAACUUAUACAAAUUUAUUCUUCAUUGGACUAGUUAUUCCCGGAAAUGUACUUGGAAAGUUUUAAUUUUGUUCGAUUUGGGUUGGGGCCCCGCGCCAACGUAGCCUGGUGCUAAGCACUUUUCAACUACAGUAUGAUUCCCAAACUGAAACAGUCAACAGAGGCAGAAAUUUUCGACAGUUCUGGCGACACAUUAGUUACAGUGAUGUGCAGUUUGAGUGUUAGGUUGCACAAUGUCCGUGUCAAGGAAGGGUCACACAUUGAACAUAUUGGGCUUUAAAUUCCCAAGUCUUGAUAUCAUUGCCAUGUCACUGUCUUGAACAAAUUUGAAUAAUUUCAGUGGUGUCAUAUAUUAAAAAUCAUCCAAUAUAUUCUUCUAAUAAAGACACUCUACAUUUAAAUUAAUGGUUACGCAAUGAAUCGCUAUCAAGCGAGCUUCCAGCAUCUAUUUGUUGUACAUUUCAUUCCACCUUCGGGCGGGGAGAGGGUAUUAAA
Stegodyphus dumicola is the source of this 2445-nucleotide long non-coding RNA. RefSeq lists it as uncharacterized. NCBI's taxonomy places the organism in Eukaryota, Metazoa, Arthropoda, Arachnida, Araneae, Eresidae. The record is from RefSeq and is a predicted model, not a curated record.